CUGGAACUGGCUGAAGGCUGAAGAUGCCAGGACUCGACGACCCAUCACCCUCGCCAGGCCCCAGACCCCCAGGGACGUCGGAAAGCCUCCUACGCUAUAGUAACACUCGAGCGGACCCUGGAGACGGCCUUCAUCCCUCUUCACCUCGCCCACACUGCGAAAGGCAGUCACCAGUGCCUGCUCCUCCUGCUCCACGUGUGCAGCUGUCUCACCCCAGGGAGGAAUGCACCCCAACUUUCCUACCCAUCCAAUGAGGGGAUACCUUCCAGGGCAGGACUGGCAGGCAGCUGCUCCGGGAACAUGCUGACAUGUGGAUGGGACCUCACACAGUAAUCCUCACAACCCCCACUGCGGCCAAACUACUUGGAGAUCCAUCGUGACACCACCUCUCCAGACUCAAGAGGACCCCGGAGCAGCAUGACUUCUAUAAAUGCCUUUGCUGGCUGCCGUCCCACUCAUGACUCCUCCAGGAACCCAAGGACAUGGUGAAUGUCAACCUCCCCUGGCUGGCAUUCCCCUCUGGGAACCCGAAGCUCCAGCACCCACCUUGCCCCUGCGGAUAUGCUACCAGACCAGCAACCCAGUAACUCUGGGACGGGUCACUUGGAACUGUACCCAAAACCACACUGCAGCCAGUCCCACCAAGGCCAGCCCGGGUACCUUCUUUUGGUGCAACGGCACCUUAAGCAACUGCAUAAACUCCUCUGAUCCCGGGCCUUGCUUCGGGGUCACAGUAGUUCCCCAGCUAACCUUGUAGGGAGAGUCAGAGCUCUCCUGGUUGCUCCCUUCAUCCCACCCCCAGGCCCGCAGGGCCGCCUUCCUCCCUGUCAUGUUGGGGCCCCCUGCCUCCUCAAAUUCAUCCGCUCCCAGAUCAUGGAAAUGUCACGGGUGACUGUAAACCAGCUCCUGCUCCAUCCCUACACUCGGCUGCCCCGCAACCCACCUCUGCCUGACUCUGGCCUUUAACAUCCCCCACCCUCUUCGCCCCUGGUCAGCAGGAAGUAGCCAGGAUGAUUUCAGCGGCGCAGCACCCGCCAGCUAUCACCAAAAGGCCGGGAUGUUAGGUCAAGGCAGGGAGGAAGUCCAGAGCCAAUGCAAGCAUCUGCAAGGUAGAUGGUGACAAAGAUAACUGACCCCUUCCUAGACCCUUGCCAUCCUUCCCACACCCUUGCCCGAGGCAGGAAUUCCACACUCUCAUGCCCUCCACCCUCCCCUCACUAAACAGCUGUAUAAAGGAAGUACCUAAGCCCCCUUUUUGGUGUGAACUUCUCUGGCCCACUCUCGGACCAGUGAGUUUCGCCCAGGAGCGCAAGAUUAAA
Long non-coding RNA from Eptesicus fuscus (big brown bat), 1319 nucleotides. RefSeq lists it as uncharacterized. Lineage: Eukaryota; Metazoa; Chordata; Mammalia; Chiroptera; Vespertilionidae. The record is from RefSeq and is a predicted model, not a curated record. The transcript has 4 exons.